Long non-coding RNA from Scomber japonicus (chub mackerel), 213 nucleotides. RefSeq lists it as uncharacterized. The transcript has 3 exons. Lineage: Eukaryota; Metazoa; Chordata; Actinopteri; Scombriformes; Scombridae. The record is from RefSeq and is a predicted model, not a curated record.
ACUGGAUGUAUUUCUGUCAUCACACAAAAGGUGAGGUUUUGAAGCUUGAACACAUUGAUGAUUAAAGCAGAGUCCUACCUGAGCUCCACAGCAACAGCAACAGCAUCAGCAGGAGAUCCAUGACCAGCCGUGAAAAAAACCAAGUGAUCCGCCUCUUCUCAGAAGUGAUGCGUGCACCUCUACACAAACACACACAUCUCUACACACACACAC